RNAcentral lists this small RNA (564 nucleotides) under Pan troglodytes (chimpanzee). Its description in RNAcentral is "processed transcript". The record is from RNAcentral. Lineage: Eukaryota; Metazoa; Chordata; Mammalia; Primates; Hominidae.
UCCCUGGCCACAGACUUCUGGAGGCAUCAGGAGGUGUACUGCUGUACCAUAUACUUGUGAGGUUUGGGGUCCUUUUCUGAGGCCCCAGUUUCUCUAAGACAGCAGAUGGCCUCCUGAGGCUCAUUGGGUGCAAGGAAGCACAGAAGGCGAAACCCCAGCUGGAAGCCCUGGCCCUCAGAGACCUCUCUGAGCACAGGUGGAAUCUGGUGUGUGAGGACAACUGGAAGGUGCCCCUCACCACCUCCCUGUUCUUCGUAGGCGUGCUCCUCGGCUCCUUCGUGUCCGGGCAGCUGUCAGACAGGUUUGGCAGGAAGAACGUUCUCUUCGCAACCAUGGCUGUACAGACUGGCUUCAGCUUCCUGCAGAUUUUCUCCAUCAGCUGGGAGAUGUUCACUGUGUUAUUUGUCAUCGUGGGCAUGGGCCAGAUCUCCAACUAUGUGGUAGCCUUCAUACUAGGCCACUUCUCUAUAGCAUGGGCAGAUCCCCAACAAAAGGCAGAGCCAUUGCCAUUGGUCACAUCUCCGCCCCAGGUGUAGUGAACCAAGGGCAGACUCUGUGGAAAGG